Molecule: ribosomal RNA, 389 nt
Filed under: uncultured bacterium
Lineage: Bacteria
Description: bacterial SSU rRNA
Rfam family: Bacterial small subunit ribosomal RNA
Source: RNAcentral
GACGAACGCUGGCGGCGUGCUUAACACAUGCAAGUCGAGCGGUAAGGCCCUUUCGGGGGUACACGAGCGGCGAACGGGUGAGUAACACGUGGGUGACCUGCCUUUAGCUCUGGGAUAAGCCUGGGAAACUGGGUCUAAUACCGGAUAUGACCCUAUGGCGCAUGUUGUGGGGUGGAAAGCCUUGUGCGGCUAGGGAUGGGCCCGCGGCCUAUCAGCUUGUUGGUGGGGUGAUGGCCUACCAAGGCGACGACGGGUAGCCGGCCUGAGAGGGCGACCGGCCACACUGGGACUGAGACACGGCCCAGACUCCUACGGGAGGCAGCAGUGGGGAAUCUUGCGCAAUGGGCGAAAGCCUGACGGCAGCGACGCCGCGUGAGGGAUGACGGCCU